Molecule: ribosomal RNA, 374 nt
Filed under: uncultured organism
Description: bacterial SSU rRNA
Rfam family: Bacterial small subunit ribosomal RNA
Source: RNAcentral
CGUAGGGUGCGAGCGUUGUCCGGAAUUAUUGGGCGUAAAGGGCUCGUAGGCGGUUUGUCACGUCGGGAGUGAAAACUCGGGGCUUAACCCCGAGCCUGCUUCCGAUACGGGCUGACUAGAGGUAUGCAGGGGGAGAACGGAAUUCCUGGUGUAGCGGUGAAAUGCGCAGAUAUCAGGAGGAACACCGGUGGCGAAGGCGGUUCUCUGGGCAUUACCUGACGCUGAGGAGCGAAAGUGUGGGGAGCGAACAGGAUUAGAUACCCUGGUAGUCCACACCGUAAACGUUGGGCGCUAGGUGUGGGACUCAUUCCACGAGUUCCGUGCCGCAGCUAACGCAUUAAGCGCCCCGCCUGGGGAGUACGGCCGCAAGGCUA